CGCGGGGUGGAGAAGUCCGGUAUCUCGCAGGGCUCAUAACCCUGAAAUCACAGGUUCAAAUCCUGUCCCCGCAACCA
Molecule: transfer RNA, 77 nt
Filed under: Christensenellaceae bacterium
Lineage: Bacteria; Bacillati; Bacillota; Clostridia; Christensenellales; Christensenellaceae
Description: tRNA-Met
Rfam family: tRNA
About the family: Transfer RNA (tRNA) molecules are approximately 80 nucleotides in length.
Source: RNAcentral